Molecule: unclassified non-coding RNA, 21 nt
Filed under: Dictyostelium discoideum
Lineage: Eukaryota; Evosea; Eumycetozoa; Dictyosteliales; Dictyosteliaceae
Source: RNAcentral
CAAGUUACGACUAUGUUCUUA